AACGAACGCUGGCGGCAGGCUUAACACAUGCAAGUCGAACGAGAUCUUCGGAUUUAGUGGCAGACGGGUGAGGAACACGUGGGAACAUCCCUUUCAGUUCGGAAUAACGUUGGGAAACUAACGCUAAUACCGGAUACGUCCUUCGGGAGAGAGAUUUAUCGCUGAAAGAUUGGCCCGCGUCUGAUUAGCUAGUUGGUGAGGUAAUGGCUCACCAAGGCUACGAUCAGUAGCUGAUCUGAGAGGAUGAUCAGCCACAUCGGGACUGAGACACGGCCCAAACUCCUACGGGAGGCAGCAGUGGGGAAUAUUGGACAAUGGGCGCAAGCCUGAUCCAGCCAUGCCGCGUGAGUGAUGACGGCCUUCGGGUUGUAAAGCUCUUUUGUCCGGGAAGGUAAUGACUGUACCGGAAGAAUAAGCCCCGGCAAACUUCGUGCCAGCCGCCGCGGUAA
This 449-nucleotide ribosomal RNA is filed under the name uncultured bacterium. RNAcentral's name for it is "partial 16S ribosomal RNA". It matches the Rfam family "Bacterial small subunit ribosomal RNA", at positions 29 to 523 of the family's 1533-position model. The record is from RNAcentral.